CCUGACUCCGUCUAGCCCCGCCUCCGCGAGAAGAGGCUGAACUGCCCCAUCUGCUUUUAAUUUCUUUCUUUCUUUCUUUCUUUCUUUCUUUUUUUCCCCUCUUUUCCUUUUCUUCUUUUAAAUAUACGUUUGGAAAUUUGCCGGGCGUGGUGGCGGGCGCCUGUAAUCCCAGCUACUCGGGAGGCUGAGGCAGGAGAAUCGCUUGAAUCCGGGAGACGGAGGUUGCAGUGAGCCGAGAACGCGCCACUACACUCCAGCCUGGACGACGAGAGUGAUACUCCGUCUCAGUCAAUCAAUCAAUCAAUCAAUCGUUUGGUUUUCGUUUUAUGCUUUUACUUCCAAAUUUAUAUUUGUUGCAAAAAAUGUGGAAUAUAAAAAAGUGUAAAGGUGAAACUGAAAUAAUCCGAAAUUAUAUUUCCCCCUCUGUGGUUUUUUUUUUCCGUCUCUGUGUUUUUCAGUGUUUUUCAGGCCUUCUGUCUUGAGCUCGUAUUACUGCUGUUCACUGAUGUAUUGUAAAAGCGUAAAACCGGACGUGACCCAAAUGUCUAUCAAAGGAGACUGAUGAGAGAAAUAAACGGAUUUGUUCACACAACGGCUUCUACAGCAAAGAAACAGAAGGUAGCUCCAAGUGCUCUGAAAUGGAAAGAAAUGGGGUUUGGUCAUGUUACCCAGGCUGGUCUCAAGCUCCUGGGAUCAAGUGAUCUGUCCGCCUUGGCCUCCCAAAGUGCUGGGAUUACAGCGGGGAGCCACUGCGCCCAGCCCAGCCAGCACGAUUCUGACCCAGAGGGUUUAGAAGUUGCUUAGACAGAUCUGCUCCUGCGAGUCAAGUGAAGCAGUGGGAGACGGAGGACAAAAAGAAUUUUGACUAAGGCAAUAAAUAUAUUAUACAAGUGAAGUAUUUCCCAAAUUGUAUUCUGUGAAAUGCUGUGUUCUCAAAUGUUAACAAGUUCCAUACAAGAACCAUUUAUUUCUAAAUUCUAAAGUCACAUUCAUAUUAUGAAUUAUAUUAAACAUAUAUAGUUACUUUUAUUAUACCUAAUAAUCUGUCUUUAUAAAAGUGUUUACCCAAAAAUGCCAGCAGAUUCCAUGAGAAACUACCUGUACUACAAUGAUCGUCAAACUUUGGUGCAUACAUGACAGAAUCAACUGGAGGGCUUGUUAAAGGAUUGCUGAGUCAAACCCCUAGUUUCAGCAGGUUUGUGGUGGGGCCUGAGAAUUUACAUUUCUUUUUUUUUUUUUUAGACGGAGUCUCGCUCUGUUGCCCAGACUGGAGUGCAGUGGCGCGAUCUUGGCUCACUGCAACCUCCGCCUCCUGGGUUCAAGCGAUUCUUCUGCCUCAGCCUCCUGAGUAGCUGGGACUACAGGUGCCCGCCACCAUGCUCAGCUAAUUUUUGGAUUUUUAGUAGAGACGGGGUUUUACCAUAUUGGCCAGGCUGGUCUCGAACUCCUGACCUUGUGACCCACCCACCUCGGCCUCCCAAAUUGCUGGGAUUACAGGCAAGAGCCACCGCGCCCUGCCGAGAAUUUGCAUUUCUAACAAGUUCCCAGGUGAUGCUGACACUGCUGGCUCAUGGAACCACUGCUGUAGUAUUUUCCAAAUUAUCCUGAUUCUAAGAACCACCUAUGACCUGUGCUGUUUUUUCUGUGGUUACUGGCUCAUGUCACAUAAAUUCUUUUAAGAUUCAAACAUGUUUGUGAUAUUACUCAGUAUUUACAUCUUGCUUUUACUGCAGCAUGACAGAAAAAUUAACCACAGGUAUAUCAUAACAAAAAGACCAUGAGUUACCAUUUUCACAAAGUUCAGAUAUAUUUAAAUUAGCCUAUUUAAUCUUUUUUUGGUUGUUGUUGAGAUGGAGUCUCACUCUGUCUCUCAGGCUGGAGUACAGUGGCACGAUCUCAGCUCACUGCAACCUCUGCCUCCCAGGUUCAAGUGAUUCUCCUGCCUCAGCCUCCCGAAUAGCGGGGAUUACAGGUGCCCACCACCACACAUGGCUAAUUUUGGUAUUUUUAGUAGAGAUGGGGUUUUGCCAUGUUAGCCAGGCUGGUCUUGAACUCCUGACCUCAGGUGAUCCGCCUGCCUCGGCCUCUCAAAGUGCUGGGAUUACAGGCAUGAGCCAUCGUGCCCAGCCUAUGGUACACCUUUACUGAGGAAACAAUUCAGGAACAUCACUCUUAGUAAGGCAAUUGUUGAUUAUAAGUCAAAAAAACACUAUCAUGUACAAAUUCAGGGGAUUUUGCAUACCUUGUUUUUUUGGUUACAAAUAUGCAAAAUUAAAGAUGUUUGCUAAUACUUGUUUCCAAUUUUUAAACUUUUCAAGUGUUGCACUGUUAAUAAUGUUAAAAUAAAAGGCAUUUGACUUAG
Molecule: long non-coding RNA, 2362 nt
Organism: Pan troglodytes (chimpanzee)
Lineage: Eukaryota; Metazoa; Chordata; Mammalia; Primates; Hominidae
Exons: 3
Source: RefSeq, a predicted model, not a curated record